UCUACUUUUAAUAAUUAAAAAUUUAAACGAAAUAUGACAAGGGAGGAAAUUUAAACCUAAAAACUGAAGCAACUCUCCCCCUCAUUCCAACUUCUUCCGCGAACAGAAGAAAUGGCUUUGAAAAUUCUGCAUUAUCAGUCGCCAUUAAGGUACUAUCUUUCUCUAUCCUCUUCGCAACUUAGAUUUUUCACCUCUGAACCCUCUUUAGAUCACGACGUAGAUAAAGUUUUCCGCAUAAUCAAUGAUUCGUCUUCAAUCCAAAACUUGAAACAAUCCCUAAAUUCAACUGGGAUUUCUCUGUCAAAUGACCUAAUUGAUAGAGUUCUGAAAAGGGUUCGUUUUAGUCAUUCAAAUCCACUUCCAGCUCUGAAUUUCUUUAACUUAACUGGGAGCAGAAAAGGGUUUUAUCACACGCAGUUUUCGCUUGAUACUAUGCUUUACAUUUUGGGAAGAACUAGGAAAUUUGACUUAAUUUGGGAUAUUUUGAUUGACAUUAAGAGGUCGGAUCGUUCUUUGAUUUCUCAUAGGACUUUACAGGUUGUCUUGGGUAGGAUUGCGAAGGUUUGUUCUGUUAGGCAAACUGUAGAAGGGUUUAAGAAGUUUAGGAAACUUGCCCCUGAAUUUGAUACUCGUUGUUUCAAUGCAUUGUUGAGGGUUUUAUGUCAAGAGAAGACGAUGGUGGAUGCCCGGAAUGUGUAUCAUGGGUUAAAGGGUCAGUUUAAGCCGGAUGUGAUUACUUUUAAUAUAUUGUUGUCUGGGUGGAGGUCUUCUGAGGAAGCCGAAGGUUUUUUCGAGGAGAUGAAGGAGUUGGGUGUGAAACCUGACAUUGUAACGUAUAAUAGCUUGAUUGAUGUUUAUUGUAAGAGUGGAGAAGUUGUGAAGGCGUACCAAUUGUUUGAUAAAAUGCAGGAGGAAGAAAUAUCCCCAGAUGUAAUCACAUAUACGACUUUGAUUGGGGGGUUGGGGAAGGCAGGUCAGCCGGAUAAAGCUAAGGAUGUGUUGAAAGAGAUGAGGGAGUAUGGGUGUUACCCGGAUGCUGCAGCGUAUAAUGCUGCCAUUAGGAACUAUUGCAUAGCAAAGAGACUUGGUAAUGCUUUUGAGUUGAUGAAUGAGAUGGUGUCCAAGGGGUUGAAUCCAAAUCCGACUACUUUUAACCUGUUUUUUAGGGUGUUUUAUUGGUCGAAUGACUUGAAGAGUGCAUGGAGUUUGUAUCAGCAGAUGAAGAUAGACGGUUGCUUGCCAAACACACAGUCUUGCAUGUUUUUAAUUAGGCUGUGUAAAAGGCAGGAAGAGGUGGAGAUGGCACUUGAGUUGUGGAAAGACAUGGUAGAGAAGGAUUUUGGGUCGUAUAUUUUGGUGUCUGAUGUGUUGUUUGAUCUUCUUUGUGACAUGGGAAAGUUGGUUGAGGCGGAGACAUGUUUUUUGCAGAUGAUAAAUAAGGGCCAAAAGCCAAGCAAUGUUUCUUUUAGGAGAAUUAAGGUGCUAAUGGAAUUGGCAAAUAAACAUGAAGCUUUAAAGAAUUUAUCAGAGAAGAUGGAUAUUUUUGGACCACCAGUCAAAUUUCGAAAGCCAAAUGAGAACUUUGAUGAUGCCACACCUCUGCGAUCAAUUGCACGUUGAGUUAGACUGCCACGUGAUUUUUCCGUGAUGGCUUUUCUGUGUUAAGCUUGUGACCCUUCCAUGGUUUACAAGGCCGUUGCACGUCCCUUGAUGUCUAGCUUGCAACAUGGUUUGACCAUGGUCUAGAGAUGCAGGGUCUCAUAUUUCCAUCUGCUGGCAUAGCAUGCUGAGCAAACAGUUGAGUCACUGGGAUGGCCAGUACUGACCCUUCUGCUGUUUUUAUGAAAUGCUUCGCAAUAGUUGCAAAUGCCUGUUUGUCUCACCUUUUUUGGUAAGCCUGUCUUUUUGAGAAUGCAAGCAUGGACCAACCAAUUUAAAACUUCCUCAAGUUAUAUGCUACCAGAAGAGCUCAAAACAGCAAACCUAUGAAACCGGAAAAACUCCUGAAACCACGAAAUCUUGUGAAGUCAAAGGUAGAUUCAGCCUAAAGGAAGGUAUGUGUAUUACGUGUUAGUCAGACGUCAGAAGACCCUUUCUCAGCCAACCCAAUGAACAAUCAACUGUUUCUCCCUCUUGAUUGAAAAGUAGAAUUCUUAAAUCCAUCAAAUUUCUCAACUCUCCUCUUGGUUGCUUUGGUGGGCUUUGCUGCAAAUUCUGAAUCACCUUUGGAUGACCAGAUAGGUUCAACAUACAUGUACUGUAGUUCCUUCUGCUACUAAAAAUGUUGAAUGAUGAACAUCAUAUGUGUUCGUAGUAUGUAUCUAUGUAAAUCACUUUAAUUUGAAAGCAUUAGAGAAAACAGGUAUACAGGAUGCCCCGGAUGACUCUGAAUCACACUAUUCGUCUGGUUUUGCAGUGGCAUCCAACGUUUUUGUGCGACAAAUCAAGUUAUGUGGCCAAGCUUUGAUUAGUGUGCAAAACAGUGGAACUUUUAUAACAAGUUCGAAUCUCCACUACUAAAAUCAUCAUAGAACAUUAUAAGAGACCCUGACAUUUCUAAAAUACCCUUCUCUAGGUAGAAAGAGGGAAUUUCAAACAAACUUCAAACGCCGAGAUAUAA
Molecule: RNA transcript, 2620 nt
Organism: Spinacia oleracea (spinach)
Lineage: Eukaryota; Viridiplantae; Streptophyta; Magnoliopsida; Caryophyllales; Amaranthaceae
Gene name: putative pentatricopeptide repeat-containing protein At1g02420
Exons: 2
Source: RefSeq, a predicted model, not a curated record